RNAcentral lists this unclassified non-coding RNA (528 nucleotides) under Hevea brasiliensis (rubber tree). The record is from RNAcentral. Lineage: Eukaryota; Viridiplantae; Streptophyta; Magnoliopsida; Malpighiales; Euphorbiaceae.
UUCCUGAACCGUGGCCACCCCUAUUGAAAAGUUUAGGGGCUUUUUGGCCUUUGACAUCUUAUUUUAAAGAAUAGACGGGCAUAUUGAAAAUAUUGGAAAUGUUGAUUACAAUCAAGGAUUAAAUAGAUUACAGAUGCUUUUGUUUAAUGUGAUUUAUUUUGGAUUUUAACUUGAAAUUUCUUAAGAAGCUUAGUGGGGUAAGGCAAUUGUUUUGAAAGAAGCUGACCUAAAUGAAUUUAGUUGUGUCAUCUUGAAACAAGCACUGGUGGCAUUUGGCUGUGUAAAGUUCAGGGGGAAGAGCACAAGCGUGGAACACGAUUGCCAUUGUUUUAUUUCUGGUUUUUGUGUCAAAACCUAUACACCAGAUGUGUCGCAACCCCUUCUAAUACUACCAAUAUAAGUUAGAUGUAAUUUCAUUUGCCUUCUAGGCAAACUAACUGGUCAAUGCCAUUGAUAUUCUAUAUGAGAAUGGUGCAGCUUUGAUUUGCACCUGAAGAUAAUAAAUGUAUAUAACUCUCAUCAGUCUUG